GGAUGAAUAUUGGUCAAUGGCCGGAAGGCUGAACCAGCCAAGCCGCGUGGAGGAUGAAGGCGCUAAGCGUCGUAAACUUCUUUUGUUGAGGGACAAAAUCCGUCACGAGUGACGGACUGAGGGUACUCAAAGAAAAAGCAUCGGCUAACUCCGUGCCAGCAGCCGCGGUAAUACGGAGGAUCCGAGCGUUAUCCGGAUUUAUUGGGUUUAAAGGGAGCGUAGAUGGAUGUUUAAGUCAGUUGUGAAAGUUUGCGGCUCAACCGUAAAAUUGCAGUUGAUACUGGAUAUCUUGAGUGCAGUUGAGGCAGGCGGAAUUCGUGGUGUAGCGGUGAAAUGCUUAGAUAUCACGAAGAACUCCGAUUGCGAAGGCAGCCUGCUAAGCUGCAACUGACAUUGAGGCUCGAAAGUGUGGGUAUCAAACAGGAUUAGAUACCC
This 435-nucleotide ribosomal RNA is filed under the name uncultured bacterium. RNAcentral describes it as "bacterial SSU rRNA". It matches the Rfam family "Bacterial small subunit ribosomal RNA", at positions 355 to 787 of the family's 1533-position model. The record is from RNAcentral.